Molecule: small RNA, 87 nt
Filed under: Phascolarctos cinereus (koala)
Lineage: Eukaryota; Metazoa; Chordata; Mammalia; Diprotodontia; Phascolarctidae
Description: 7SK RNA (ENSPCIG00000009899.2)
Source: RNAcentral
GGCCAUCUGGCUGGGACAUCUGUCACCUAUUGAUGGACAGCACUGAUUUGGCUGACCUGGCUGGCUCAGCAGGUGCUCCUUUCCACC